UCCUGGGUGAGCAGGGUCUGGGCGACCUCAGACAUGACACUGAUGGCAUCCCCCGUGCGCUUCCGGUCGAUGAAGAUGACUCCUGCCAGCCAGCAGGCCAGCCCGGCAGAGCCAGCCCACAGUAGCUCGCGCUUGGCAAUGGGCACACAGCGGCCUGGCAGUACCUCCAUCAUCCCUUGGGCAGGCAGAUCGAGAGAGCUCUGGUGGUUGGAGACAACAACAUAGGGCUGCGAGGGAGGGAAGUGGUGAGCCCCUCGCACCUCCACUCGGAUCCCGUACAGGUAUUUGAUGUGGAGCAGCAUUAGACGCAAGAUC
This 315-nucleotide long non-coding RNA is filed under the name Homo sapiens (human). RNAcentral's name for it is "HSALNT0104781". Lineage: Eukaryota; Metazoa; Chordata; Mammalia; Primates; Hominidae. The record is from RNAcentral.